This 497-nucleotide ribosomal RNA is filed under the name uncultured bacterium. RNAcentral describes it as "partial 16S ribosomal RNA". It matches the Rfam family "Bacterial small subunit ribosomal RNA", at positions 28 to 507 of the family's 1533-position model. The record is from RNAcentral.
GACGAACGCUGGCGGCGUGCCUAAUACAUGCAAGUUGAGCGCUGAAGGUUGGUACUUGUACCCACUGGAUGAGCAGCGAACGGGUGAGUAACGCGUGGGGAAUCUGCCUUUGAGCGGGGGACAACAUUUGGAAACGAAUGCUAAUACCGCAUAAAAACUUUAAACACAAGUUUUAAGUUUGAAAGAUGCAAUUGCAUCACUCAAAGAUGAUCCCGCGUUGUAUUAGCUAGUUGGUGAGGUAAAGGCUCACCAAGGCGAUGAUACAUAGCCGACCUGAGAGGGUGAUCGGCCAAAUUGGGACGGAGACACGGCCCAAACUCCUACGGGAAGCAGCAAUAGGGGAACUUCGGACAAGGACGAAAGUCUGGCCGAGCAACGCCGCGGGGGUGAAGAAGGGUUUCGGGUCGGAAAAGUCUGUUGGUAGAGAAGAAAGUGGGUGAGAGUGGAAAGCUCAUCAAGUGACGGUAACUACCCAGAAAGCAACGGCUAACUACGUG